RNAcentral lists this unclassified non-coding RNA (231 nucleotides) under Aspergillus sp. RNAcentral describes it as "partial internal transcribed spacer region". The stretch from base 1 to 48 matches the Rfam family "Eukaryotic small subunit ribosomal RNA", at positions 1784 to 1831 of the family's 1831-position model. Lineage: Eukaryota; Fungi; Ascomycota; Eurotiomycetes; Eurotiales; Aspergillaceae. The record is from RNAcentral.
AAAAGUCGUAACAAGGUUUCCGUAGGUGAACCUGCGGAAGGAUCAUUACCUAGUGCGGGCUGCCUCCGGGCGCCCAACCUCCCACCCGUGACUACCUAACACUGUUGCUUCGGCGGGGAGCCCCCCAGGGGCGAGCCGCCGGGGACCACUGAACUUCAUGCCUGAGAGUGAUGCAGUCUGAGCCUGAAUACAAAUCAGUCAAAACUUUCAACAAUGGAUCUCUUGGUUCCG